CCGAAACCGGAAAUGAAGGAACUUGCUAGAAUCAAACUAUAACUCACACAAAUUACAAUCGGAAGUGAAGCAAAUCGCCGCCGAAAGUGAAGGAAAUUGCUGGAAUUCAAGAAACGCUAGAAGUGAAGAAACUCCUACACGUGUAUAUGGGGUGAUGGGAGAUGUUUUUGGGCGAUGUUGGGCGAAAUAUUUUUUUUUGUUUGUUUAGUUUUGAGAAUUUAUGGAUAUUUUAGUUUAAG
This 239-nucleotide long non-coding RNA is filed under the name Citrus sinensis (sweet orange). Its description in RNAcentral is "long non-coding RNA (CSIN_LNC005537)". Lineage: Eukaryota; Viridiplantae; Streptophyta; Magnoliopsida; Sapindales; Rutaceae. The record is from RNAcentral.